CCCAGUUCACGGCACGCUGCUCGUUUUGGCCUGACGCACGCAGAGGCCAACGUUACGCACAAUUGUGGCUCAGAGUGGACGCUGCUUUCCAUCCAAACACCGCGCGGUGACAAUAGUAGGCCUCACCAAUGAAUCCACCCUGCUGGAAAAGGUGGAGGAGAUAUGUGUGUGCGCAAAAGGUGACGAGAAAAGUGACAACAGAUCAGAACUUUCUCCACCUGCCCAGAAGUUCAACAUGUGCCUCGGUGACAUAUUCCAAAAUGAAUCAUGUCCAGCAGGCCCUCUGCGCCAUAUCAAACAGCGAGCAUGCUCCUGCAGCCUACAGAUGGAUUAAAACUGUCACCGAUUUAAAGACUGUACGAGGAAGAGACCCGACCCCCUGGAUGGAUCAUGAUGAAACAAUCCCAGCGUUGAAAACCAGGCUCUGAUGUCUCUUGUGAUCACCAAAAGUAAGAUGGACUUCAUUUGGAGUUUGGUACAGAUAUUUUUGUGGCCUCUGCGCCAGGCCGCGUUCAAGAUCUGUUCAGUUAAUGCUUUACCUUAUGUUUGUUAUAGGAUUGGAUGGAUCACGAUGAGACAAUCCCAGCGUUGGAACCAGGCCCUGACGUCUCCUGAAGUCAUCAAAAGUAAGACGAACUUUGUUUGGAUUUUGCGGGUUUUGUGCUGAUGUUUUGGCCGCCGCGCCAAACUGCGUUUAAGAUCUGAUCAGUUAAUGCUUCACCUGAUGUUGGUUAUAGCAUUUGUGUGACUUUAAAGAGGGUUUUGUGCGUUAAGGUCACUUUUUAUUGUUAUCCUACGAAGCAGGCUUGUGCUCAGUUGUGGCCUUUUUGGGUGCCUGUGUGGUUGUCCUGCUGGGUCGUGUUUGUGUUACUUGAACGUUGCUUUUUGUGGCCUGGUGUGCUAUUUAUCCUGUUUGCUACCUGUUCGUCCUAGAAAUUAAUAAUCCGGCUAACUGUGAGUGAAACUGCCGUGUGAAGUUGCCAUGACAGCAGCUCCUCAAUUGUAAUCUCAAUCUGGACCAGGUAUGGUGCAUCAAAAUCAAUCAAAUUAACUUGAUUGACAGAUAGGUGUUACAGCAAGUGAGGAUUUUGCUUGGUGGAUUACUUUAUUUUGAGGUGUAGAGAAGGCCUGCAUCACUCUGACAUUUAAGAACCUCUCUGUUGCUGCUGCCAGUACAGUAAAAACUGGAUUCAUGGCAUCGUUUUUCACAAAAUAAUGACCAAAUCGAUGAAUCAUGAUGAAAUAAUUCCAGCUUUGAAGGACAACAACAAGGCCCCGAAGUUUUCUGCACUGGUCAUCAAAAGUAAGACCAACUUUCUUUGGAUUCUGGGUGCAGUAGUUGUGGUGGGAGUACACUAAAUGUUCAUGCUGAUGUUGCUGAAACUGUGCACACAUGUGACCGCCGUGCCAAGCUUUGUUAAAGUGUAAUUUCUAAAGCUGCUGAGCAUGUUGUUGCAGGUUGAUCUCAAUCCAUGUGCUUCAUUAUCAAGGCUGUUUGUGUGUGAAAAUGUGGCCCUGUGCCAGUGUUUGUUUGUGUGCUUACACUAUCGCUCUGCUUGUAACUGCUGCUGUUUUAAAUGAAGUAUCAAUGUUAUAUGUGGCUGCCGUGCCAGCUAUACUCUACUCUUUACACUGUUUUAACUAUAUAAAUGAAGUGUCAAUGCUUUAUGUGGCUGCCGUGCCAGCUAUACUCUGCUGUUUAUACUGUUUUAACUCUGUGUAAAUGAAGUGUCAAUGUUAUAUGUGGCUGCCGUGCCAGCUAUACUCUACUCUUUACACUGUUUUAACUCGAUAUAUGAAGUGUCAAUGUUCACUAUACUCUACUGUUUAUCAUGUUUUAACAAUAUAAAUGAAAUGUCAAUGCUUUAUGUGGCUGCCGUGCCAGCUAUACUCUACUCUUUACACUAUUUUAACUCUAUUAAUGAAGUGUCAAUGUUAUAUGUGGCUGCCGUGCCAGCUAUAUACUCCACUGUUUAUACUGUUUUAACUCUAUGUCAAUGAAGUACCAAUGCUAUGUAUGGCCGCCGUGCCAGCUAGACACUUCUGUUUAUGCUGUUUUUUGCCUGUAACAUUACCUCUGUUAUUGUGCAGUUUAAAGCCUGUACUGCAUUUGGAUGAACACAACUGCAAGUCUAUGCCUUCUGGAUUUUCUCUUUGCUUGCCCACCCUGUGAUUUUUGUCUAUUUUGAAUAUGAAUGAUCUGAUUCUGAGCUUGCAAAAAGUUGUUUGACGUAAAUUGCCGUUGGUCUUUCUGCUCUGUGUUCCUGUGAAUAGUGAGUUUUCGCAGCGUUGGAGUGGUGAGCUACAUCUAUUCAUUCAUUCAUUCAUUCAUUCAUUUACCUUUUGGUUAAUGUAGCUGUGACUUGCUCCAAGUUUUUUGAUAUCCUUGCCUUCAAAGAAAGCAAAGUACAAUCUGAGUAUGUUUUCAUUUUAGUUGGUGCCAAAUGGAGAAAAUUCAGAUUUGUUGAUUGCAGAAAUCUAGCAGUUGUUGCAGUUUUGUCCUGCAAAGCAAGGGUUGUUUUAGAUCCAAAGUGUUUUCCACAAAGCUUUUUGAGUGCUUUUUAGGGGUUGUGUGAGUAACUUGGUGCAAACUGUCACCUGGUUGGGUGUGCAGGUAUCUGGAAGCAGGUGUCUGAAUGUUUGGCUGUGUAUAAAUGACUAAAGCUGGCACUCUGUGCACUUCUGCAUAGAUUAGGACAUUUUGUGCUUUUGUUUUAUGGUGGACCUGUGAAAAAGUGGGCAGUUCUUGUUGUAAACUCAAAUGUUUUUGCUCUCAUGUGUAAAAAUUUCCUAUCAGCUAUAAAUUAUCAACUGACUAACAUUUUGAGUUUGAACUUUUCCCAACCAUCUGUAUUUCAUCAAACUGGAUUUCUCCUUUUUUAAAACAUCUGUAAUUCAAACUCCUCCAGACUGCAAACUUGCAAAGAGAAACUUUCAGCGUAGCUAUUCUCACAUUACCUUCAUAAAAGGUGUGAUUGCUGAGUCCUUGACCAAUAAACAACUUCAUUGAACAGAUUUAGUUGCCGUAACCAUGUCCCAAAAAAGCUUUUGUUUAGGAAGGAUUUUUCAAAAGGAUUUUAACUACUCCAAAUCAGCAUUACCUUCUUUAAGCACUCUGUUGGUAUAUCAGACCUGCACCCUGUGCUGUAAGUCAUGUGAUCACAGCUGUGUGAGGUUUUGGCGUGCCUGUAACUCGGGGUGGGAAUCACUAGUGGCCCACAUGAUAUGAUAUUAUCACGGUACUUCAGCCAUGAUACAAUAUUAUUGUGAUUUUCAACUUUUUGCAAUACAGUGAGUAUUACAAUACAAUAUAUUGAAUUUCUACCUUUUUCAACUAUUUAGCAUUUGUUUUUCCUUUAUCUUUGUCUUAUAUACACAGUAUUUUAUUUUCAUGUAGCACAUCUUGCAAACCUUGUGUAUAUAUAUUUAUCAUACUAACUUUUUCCUGCUCUACGGUGUCACCUCUGCCAACCUCAUUGGACAAGCACUUAAUUUUAUUUUUUCCAUUAUCAUAGAUUUGACUUCAUGUUGGCAAUUAAUUUGAAAAAUCCAUACUUGGUAAAUGAGACGAUAUGAUAUAUCACCAGACAAUAUAUCCCGAUACUAUGCUGUAUCUAUUUUCUUUUCCCAUCCCUACCUGCAACCCUUGUACUGUAACUUCCUCCAUACUCCUAUUACUGUCAAUCAAAGGUAUAACCAAUGAAUCCUAUAAGACUGGGGAUCAUUUGGAUAAUAAUAAUGAAUAAUCAGGUUUUGAGUAAUUAUCACGUUGGACUUAAAACUUGUUUGACCCUCUUUAGAGGCUACAUAGUUGGGGUUAUGAGUUCCUGAAUCCAUGUCUGCAGAGUGGUUUAGUUUUAGGGUUGUGGUUUGAUAGGACCCAGAGUCCCUUGUUGCACUCUUAGUUUUAUGUUUCAUUUAAAUGCAAAUGCACUAAAUGAAAUGCAUUUGUUAAUAGCAUGUUUCGGUAUGACUUUUCUGCUCACCGUCUCAAAAUAUGUCAAAUUAGUCCAAGUUUUUACAGCACAUCACUCCAAAGAUCACAGUAAUUUCUAGAUGCAGUCUAGAUCUUGAGCAUAGCAGGUUUAUUGUGUGGUUCGUGUGUGGUGUUUAUGAGUCAAUAACAAACAGAAAGACUGAUAGAAGAAGUUUAUAUUUCCUUUCUGUCGUCUGGGCAAAGAUUUGCAUCGCAUCUUUGGCGAGCAAAUUUAAAAGCUUGAAGAGUAAUAGAGUUUUUUGAGGUUUUUAUCUUUUAUCUCAAGGAUGGAGGUUUUUUUUUUUAAUGGUGCUGGGCAGUGCCAUAAACAUAAGAGUUAGUUUGAAAAACCUCUCUGUAUCUGCAUUUCUUUGAUCUGAUUUCUUUCCAAGUCAGACUUCAGUACAGGCUCCAGGCCCUGAUAAGAGAUACGUUACUUUUAAAAGCACAACAACAGAUCAUAGCUCUAAUAGAAAUGGAUAUGAUAAUGUCGAACAAAGAGGGAACUGAGCCAGUGUCCUCAGAGCCAGCGUUGGUAGUACGAUGCGCUAAACCUGCUGUUUGUUAAAGCCAAGAAGGUUUCAAAUCCUGAGGCAUCAAACUGGUAAACGAAUACUUGUUGACGCAGGUGGGAAAGUCUCUCCCAGCUGCUCACAUCUCACCUGCGCUUCACUGUCAAGUAUUACACUUCCACUAUCACUGCGAGGUACUUGAAGUCUUGGCAAGCUUCGUGCUGGUGGUACAAGAAAAUCUUACCGAGAGUGUUUAUGAAAGUUUUAGUCAAAAUAUCUUAUUACUUUAAUUCCUGGAGAAGUUAUGGUUGUCAUGGCAACGUAAAUGCUGCUUGCAAAUAACCUGCGCUUCACUGUCAAGUAUUGUACUUCCACUAUCACUGUGAGGUACUUGAAGUCUUGGCAAGCUUAACAGUGGCAGCACAAAAAUCUUACUGAGAGUGUUUGUCAAAGUUUGAGUCAAAAUAUCUUAUUGCAUUUAAGCUGUUCUCAAACCUGUAAAGAGUUGUGCUCAGAGUUUAAAAGCCACCGUCAUGAAACAGACUGCCAACAGGGGGCACCAUAACUGACACAAAGAGAAAGUUCCUCACUGGACUCAAUUUGACAAACACACUCUGUAAGAUUUUAGUUUUUCUGGUGUGUGAAAUCAGGCUGCAACGAUUAGUCAACGUUGUGGACAAAAAUCGUCAAUGAAAAAAGUCGACAAUGAAUUCCAUUGUUGACUAUUGUUGCCAUAUGUGUUUUUUUUUUACCAGUGGAGUAAAGUAUCUUACUUCAUUACGAUCUCUGCCUAGAGUCACACAUGCGCAAUGGUGUCUCCGCCGAGCAAUAGGGUAUUCAAACACUAUGGCGCUGGCGUCCCACACAGCAGCUACGAGUACGCACUUAAAAACCUCCAAAGUUUGGGAGCACUUAAGCCAGGAUAAGGCAAAAAUGUUAAAUUUAAGAAAAAAAUUCAUAAUUAUCCGAUUAGUCGACUAAUCGUUUCAAUAGUUGGUAACAAGUCGACUAUUAAAAUGGUCGUUAGUUGCAGCCCUAGUGUGAAACGAGUGUGCGGUAUCCGGGGAAUAAUACACUAUCAGACGAGCUGAGGUGUCCUCACGCUGUCUGUGCACAUAUGUGAAAUUUAACAUAUUAAUUUAUUUAAUCUUUAGGAAUAACUGGUUCCUUCCGGUUAUUGACAUGUUUUCAGACUCUAAAACAUCCAAAAAUUCCACACAAUAGUCUUCCUGGUGAACUCAUAGGUGGUGCAUUUUGUUUUUCCCAUUGACUUGCGCCUGUGUUUUUGUCGGGGUCUCAUUCACUAUCGUUUUAUCCAUGUGUUUAUUGUCAGACAUUUUUCACUGAAUGAGAAAUCUCCGUAUAAUCAGACUCAACACAAAGGAGUGAUUUUCAAACCCACUUUAGCACAACAGGCAGUUGUUAUGGGAUCAAUGAGCAGCAUCAUCAUUAUUAAAAACGAGCAGCUAACGGCAGUCACUUGAUCACAGAGGAGUGCGGCCGCGCUGCAAUCAAUCCUGAUUGGACGAGACGCUGGGACGAGAGGGAUGUCGGCACUUCUGCUAUUUAAGAGGGUCAAGUGCCAUCGAUCGUAGUUCUCUGCCGAGACACCGCCUUGUCAUCGAUGAGACGGAUUAAGCUCUCAGAGCUGGCACAUGUUUCUCAGCCGCCCAUCAUAUCCUCACAUCCUGUCUGCGGCGUCCACUCGAUGACUCAUCUUCCCAGGAGUUUCUCCUGGGUCCACUGCUCCUGAGGGGAGUGUGUGAGUGAGAGCCAGAGGCAGUGGGAGGAUAAAGCAUUUAUACUUUUAUACACACAGAUAGAGGAUGAGUUAGCUGCUGUUUGCUCACGACAGAGACUUUACUGUCCUUCGUACACUGGUGUUGUUUUUAAAAACCAGAAAAUUUGAAAAUUUGUCCUUGUAAAAACAAAAAUCAUUCUCUAAGUUCAUUUGAACUGAUGGAUUAGCAGGUAACUUUCACCUGACUGUUGUUCUCUUUCCAGUUUAGCUCCUUUCAGGCAGCUUUUUUUGAUUUAGCUGCACUGCUGAAUAUGCAAACUUGCUCACACCUUACCAAAGUAACAAUGAAGUGCUGUCAGUGUUGCAUAAAAAGCCAGUUUUGGCCUGAAAAAUGUGUCUUCUGUUAAGAUUUGUCCCAAAACAAGACAGUUUUGUAUAUCCAAGAGUUUAAAUAUUCAAGAAAGUCACACAAACUAUGAAAAUAUGCAGCGUCAUAAACUGUAAGAGUGCUGUCUCACGCCAAACUUUCCUGAUUUACUGAUAUAAGUAACUUAAAAAACCUGAAGAGCUGAUACAAAAUACUCCACUUAAACCAAAUGGUGCGCUUUCUCUCUUAUUCCUUUUAAAGCUGGUCUCUCUCACUGUUGAUUUGGUUAAAAGUUUGGAGUUGGCUUCCAUUUAAACACAAUAUUUACAGGUUAAAUUGGCUUUUCCAACUUUUUGCAUUGAACCGUGCUGUGAGUGGAGAGGGGGGAAUAGACGUAGACGAAACAUGCAGCAGUUGGAUAUGGAUGUGUGAAUUCUGCAGACAGCUGCUCUCCCUCUCAUGAAGCUGUGGCACGUUUCCAGAUUCACAAUAAAACACUGUAGACUCCAGGGCCCGCUCACCGUCCUGCAUGUUAUUCUCACUUUCAUCUCAUCCAAAUAGGAACAGUAUAUGGACAGAUUAAAAACACAAAUCUCUCAGCCUGUAAUCUGUUUUAUUUAUAUGCUCCCAGGAGGGAUGUUUACUGCAGGUAGAGCUCUUUCUGGAUGAGGAUUGCACAUCAAAUAAGCGCUCUUUAAUGAUGAAACCGGCCGGUUUCCUUUUUAAAAAGAAAGCCUUUUUUUUCCCCGUCACCUCCACUCUACAUGUAUUUUAAUAGCUUAUAAAUCCCCCCAAUUAGUGCGGCAGCAGGUUUUUCUUUUCAGGGCAAGGAUAUCUCAAAGAAAACUGCUUAGAAUUCAGAUUUCUGGCAUAAUUACCAUGUGCUUUUCCCCUUGCAGAAAUUAUGAAUGGAUGGCAGCUUUUGCAUUCAUAGUUUGGGUUAUAAUUUAUGUAUUUGUGAAGGUGUGCUGCUGGGGUACAAUUUGACACAGAUGUAUCUUCAAUUCAUGCAUAUUGCACUAUUUGCAUGUUAAAAACAAAACAUAUGAGUCAGUCACAUAUACUUGCAUGUUUUAAGAUGAUAAAUUGACCUUAUGCUACCCUGCAGAGGUUGAAUUCUCAAGCUGGCCAACCUUAUUUGUUUUUUUUUCCUUCUACCUGCCACCACAAAGCUUUGCUCCCUUUCUUUCACCACUUUUAGACAUUCCCACCUUGACCAGCAGAUGUCAGUAGUGUCCCUCAAAACCUGGCUGUUCCUCCAAGCCUGAGUAUCACAUUAAUGUCAUCAGACUCUCUCCUUGCACAUUUAACAUGCUAUAUGAAUGUUCAGUCACAUGAUACCUGCGCAAUAGAAGGAUUGGCUUUUUGUGAGUGCUGUCAGGUGUGUAAAUAACUAAUUCAAAUGAGAUGGUUGUCUUUGCAUCUGUGUUUGUUUGCGUGUGUGAAUGCGUGGUGGUAAUUUAGUUAUUAAUGGAGAGAGGGCGCAGAACAAAGUGGCUGCAGAUACAUGUGGCGCUCCAGCUGUGCACCAGGAAAAAAAAAAAAAAAAAGGCAGAUGUUGUAAAUGAAUCUGCAGUGGAUGGAGGGGGAAAGCACGGAGGAAAAGAGCAGUGAAGGAGGAGGGAAGGCAGAGUCUGACAGACUGACAAGCUGGGGAACAGACGAAUAGACUGACAAUCAGGAGGGCUGGAGCACAAACAAACACGAGUACCUGUACUGUAUGGAUAAUGACAUGGUUUUAUAGAUAAAAGCCGAAACAAUGCAAAUAGCCCUCACUCGCAGCAGUUACCAUGGCGACCAUCCACCUGAACUUGAAGGUAAGUCCCAGGAGAGGUGUGCAGGACGGAGUGAGGGGAGAGGAGGGGAGGGAGGCGGGACAGGAGAGGAGACAGUGUCCUGAUUUUACAGUUUGCCAAGUCCUCCAUGUAUCCCCUCGCUGGUCGCCCCACUGUUGUGCACCACGGUGGGUCCACUGGGACGCUGUCUCUAAGAGAUACAACAGAGAGCGUAGAAACCACUUGGACAGAUAUUCACUAUUAGACCUGUUCAAGGUUUUAAUUGCUUCACUUCUCGCCCCCUGAAAUACUCAUCCAUUAAAACCCUCUUCCUUCUCGUACUCGCCGUCAUCAAUGUCCGCCCCACCUCUCCAUGUGCCGCACAUGUAAUGGAUUCUCUUUGAAAUGGCUGAACUUGAAAUGCACCGACCCAGAACGUGAUCAGGUAUCUCCUCUGCACCUCAGGCUGCCUGCAUCUGAAGGCUGUUUAACGUGGCGGGUGGCGGCAAAAUCCAGCCGUUUCUCACUUCCAGGGAAUUGGAUCACAACAACAGAUUUUUAAAAAAUGCAAAGCUUACACAGUCGGGGUUGCGCCAGGAGAACAGGCUUCAUCAGGAAGUGUGCAGAGGCAGAAAGAAUCUGUUUGGUUUGAUGGCCACAGAGGAAGUCUAUUUUGAGACAAAGUAAACUCGCUUUUCUGUUCGAAAGGCAAAACUGUGGGUUCAUGCUGUGAUUUUCAUCGAAGAUCUAUCUUGUAAACCCUCCAGACAACAUUAACUAAGGAACAUUAUUUUCUUUUUAUUUAAGCACAUUCACAUGGAUGGAGGUGCCGUCAUGAUGAAUAUCAGCACUGCUGUGAAUGCACAUUCUGGUUUGUUUUGUUGCUUUUAUGCAACAGUGUACAAGUGAUACUUUAAUUCAUUAAAUACAUGCACAAGCUAGAUUUUGCGAUUAUGGCUCUGUUUCGAGAGCUCCCUGCACUUCCUUGUGACUAUGAAGAGAGACAAAGCCUGCAGCAAGAAUAGCACACCUCCUCUCUGUUUCAAAGCCAAGGCAGGGAGAGAAGCAGCAAACAAUGCAUAUAACACCUGUAAACUCAGACACAGCAUUAGGAGGAGCAGCUGGGGUGGAGGCGGCUGACAGGGACUCCCUUCUUUGAGCCUCAUUCAAAGUAAACAAAACAAAUAAAGUCUUACAUUAAGGUGGUCAUAUAUGGGAGUAUUAUCCUCCCAUUUCCACCAAGUCUCUUCUGCUAAAUGUCUCCAUGUACUACACACUGCACUAUUGAUCUUUCAUUUAAAAGCAAGUGUUGCCAGGCACCCCCAGCAUUUCCUCCCUCAUUCUUCAUACUUCCAUGUGUCAGCAUGCGACCACAGUUACUCUGUAUUAUGUAAAUUGGCCCAUAUGUUCCUAUUUCUCUCGUAGCGCCUGAAUAAAGAAGAUCUUCGCUGUUGUUUUUGUGGCAUUUGCGAGGGAUAGGACCACAUAUCUUUAUCCUUAAUUAUCAUGAUACUGCCACCACAUAUUUAUCUUUUAAAGGUCUUUAAAUGAGAAUAAAAAAGUGAUUUUGUUAAUCAGACUUAUCCCAGCGUGUGAUUGUCUUGAGACUAAGGGAAAAUGUAUUAGUGGAGGGCUGUUGUCCAAACCUGAAGGGACUCUAUUUUGCACAACCACCUGCUCUCUGUUAGGGCUGAGCGAUAUGGCCUCAAAUCAAUAUCACAAUAUAUUGAGCAGUUCGCCUGGACAACAAAAAAUGGAUGAUAACUACUCCACAAGCUGCUCACCCCCUCCCACAUUAACUUCGUCUACUUCAGCCGCUACAACUUUUGAACCGUCCUCCAUCUCCUCACCUGUCUUUCCCUCUUUGUUACGGACUGAAUGGGGUGAACUCUGAUGUAGGACAGCGUCUUAAAGGGACAUGAAACCAUAGCCUACCUACACACAUCCAAAACCAACUUUUAAUUAUUUCUUGUUUUGACACAGAAUAUACCGGCAUGGGCAAUAUGACAUCGGUUAUUUUCUUAAAUUUCAGUAUCGGUAAAUUUUCGGUUUAUCACCCAGCCCUACUCUCUGUACAUUAUCACAUUCAUUCCUACCUGAAGAUAACCAAACAAAGGCACCAAUUGCAUAUUUCUCUUCUUUCCAUCCUCUUCUGUCUGCAUUAACCACUAAUCUUAACUGAUCUUAUAAUAAAUAGAGAAUAAUACUUCAAAAAUGAUCUUUUGUUAAUAUCAGAUAUUGUAAGAGUCCAAAGUUCCUCUGUAUUUUCUCAGUAUUCUGAAAUGCAUCUUACCCAUUAAUAUUACAGGAUAUGACAAAACGAUGAUGUGAACUCAACCAGAAAGAGAAGGUAGACAUGGUUUAUGUAGUCGACAGCAGCCUCAGCAGGGUUUCCUCCUCCCUCUCCAUGUCAAUGACACACAAACACAAACAGUAAACACACUAUCACUUCAUGUUAAUGCUCUCCUCUUGGGCUGUGGAUAUCAUGCAAAAUAGGAAUUUGUAUUUCAGACAUGGCAAUUAAUUUCCAGCCUGCACCUUUCGUUAUGAAGCUAAAUUUUAAUUACUCAUUUCAGGGCAGUUACGGUUGGAGCCCCAGCACACUAAAGAUAAUUUGCCUUUUUGUUAAUCUGGAGGAGGGGGUUUAUGGCAGCCAUAGUGGCAAGCGCAGGCGAUUUUUGUGACAAUCAGACCAUAAUUAUGUGCGGGGAUGCAGCCAAGUGCAACAUUGCCCGAUGUCAUUAACUUGCAGCCCACCUCAGACUGAAAGGGGCUGGGGGUUGUCAUUAUUUUCUAUUAUUCUGAGAGGAACACAAAUCCAAAUGAGCACAGAUAAAAAAAAAAAAAAGGAAAAAAAAAAAAAACCUAACUAAGCUUGAUGCCACAGGCUUAGCCAGCUGUUUGACAUUCAGCUGUUAAACCUUGCUGUAGUGAAAAGAGUGGGGUCACAGGGAUAAUAUUGCUUGAAGAAUGACGUGAAAUUUCAUUAGGUCCGCUAAUACCUCCCUGACAUUAGUGAUAAAUCCUUAGCUGCUUGUUAAUAGGCGCUAAAGAAGCUGAUAUCUGCUGCCUGUGGUAACUGUACCAUGUCCGAUGGCAGGUAGUUGAGGGAUUUGGCUUGAAUCAGAGCUAUGUACAACAGAAACAUGUUGCUGCACACAGUGUGAGUCUGUCAGAGCUCUGCCUUAUCUGCAAACAGAGAAUGACACUUUAAUUCAGGGUCUGCACUUCUACACCACCACUGCCUCUAAAAAUCAAAUACAGGAGUGGACAUCACCAAAGGAGUGCGUCGCACAAUAGGACUAAAAUUUCAAGUUUAACACUUUCAGAAAAUGCAAAUUUAUUUCUGUGAAGCUAAAUCGCAUGAAUCAUCUCAUCAUUGUUAUGCCAACUUUCUACUUUUGACCUCUGCGAUAAGAGUCCUCCAUUUUUGUGCUCAAAGUUAAACUUUUUCAAAUCAGGAAUACCUUGAAAAUUUCCAUUACAAUCGACUGAUACUUUCCUUUGCAUUAAUACGAUUUUAUCUUGACAAAUGACACAAUGAAUUGUCAAUAUUGCCUGAGAGGAUGUUGUUGUUCUGAAAAUAAAGCGCGGCCAUAAAUCGGUAGGAAAUCAUAUUCGGUCCGACCAAACGAACUACCAUGAGUGUGACUCUGCUUUUUCAACAUUACUGAGUAACAUCAGAUUAAGAGAGGAAAUUCAUCAAUAUUAUGCCAAUAUUAUUUCCUAGAUGCCUCUAGGAAAUUGAUUUACUGGAGCUACAGCCCCAGCUAGUGGUAGGAGGCUGAAUUACAUCUCAGACACAAUAUAGGACAGUGGUUCUUAAAUGGUCUCACUCUGGGACUCACAUUUUCUCUUGGUCUUUAAGUCGCGACCCACUUUUAUAAAAUUCAAAUUUAUUUUUUGUAAAAUAAACCUUCAAAGUCUCAAGUGUUUAACAUAGAUACACCCAUCUUAUUGAGUAAAGUGCAUUUUAGAAUGUAUAAACUGAGGAUGACAACUACUAAAUUUGCAUAUACAGAAAAUAUCAAACAUCAAAUUGCACAAAAUAAAGACUACAUAUAUGUAUUUUGCCCCACAAUAUGAAAACACUGAAAAUGUCUUAAUUCGUAUGGUGCAAAUGCCAACAUCCUCACUUUUCCUACAUAUGUAUUUUUCUAUUUGUAAGACACAGUCAACAGUUCCUUAGUCAGCAUGUUUAAGCCAACAGGUACAAACUCUCUGCUGUAAUGUUAAGUAAUGAUAUUGAGAACACCUGGAGCAGAUUGAAAAAUGUAGUUAAAGUCCCAUCGCUGUGAUUGUCUCUGUGAGCUCUAAUUUGAUGCAUUUUGUCCGGUUAAAUUACUGUGUAAGAACUAACAGCUGUGUUAUAAGCUGCUCUGAUUUCCUCUCUUACCAAACACAUUUAAAAACCAUAAUGAGUCGGACAAUGUCUUUUACUGCACAGAGCACAGUGAUGGGACUCCAUUUAUUCGCCUGCUGUUUUCGUGCUGCAGGAUUCAGGAGGGGCCGGGUUGUACAGUAUUCAUGACAGACGGACAUUUUGGAAUUAUAAAUGAAUAUUUCAUGGCCUGAUGGACCGGGAUCUAGCCUGAGCUGCUCUUGGCAGUGGAUAGCAUUCAUACUGAUGCCUCGAUAUAUCUCCUUCCCUUGAAAAUGUCAAUGUGAAGUGAUCUGAGAUUUCAUCAAUGUUUCCUGAAAGGGGAAACUGAGAAAUCGAAGCACAGAGAGGGAGAGUGAUUGUCUUACCAAUAAGUGCUGAUACAUAUUUUGAUGAAGUAUUCUUUCAAGGGCAGUUGGAGUACUUGUUGUCUAUUUCUCUGACUGUCUGGGCUCCUGGUGGGCUUUACUUCCGCCAUGCUGGUCCUCUUGAAAACACGGGAGGAGGAUCUCUCAAACAGGCAGGGUUCACCUCUCCAGCACCCCGCAGAGCAGCUGCAAAGGAAAGACCUGUCUGCAGAGGUGGAGCUGGGUGUCUGAUAUCACUGACGUGUUUCAUAACAAGUGUCUGAGGCCGUCUAUUACCUGGCCCUCGGGGCAAAACUCUCCUUGUCAUCUCUCUGAAGCAGUUCUUCUUUUUCGCCUCUAACUGGGGCCGCGGAGGAGACAAAACCACCAGACGGCAGACUACAGGCAAACGAAGGAGAACACACGGAGAGGGAUUGGAAUUAUUGGCUUAAUUAGACCCACAGGGAGUCCAGCUUAAACGGUUUGCUCGAGUGAAUAUUACUAAUGCACAGGUGUAAAGAGGGCAGUGAAGCAUGCGUACCUGAAAAGCCCGGUUUUAUAUCUGCUGUUCAGGUUCACUGCGCUUUUGCCUUUUUAAUGUAAGGAGGGCGCAGGAGGACACUGUUAUUCUUUUAUCCCCAUAAUGGAGCCUUUGAAAGCUGACCUGCACUGGACUUUAAAGUUAACAGCAAUUUAAACACAAUCGUAAUAAAAGUAAAGAAGGAGUACGUUCAUUUCUUUUCAUGAAACAGUAAUAAUCCUCAAAGGGGGAAUUAAAUGAGUUUUUACUGGCAUUUAAUUUAUUUUUCAUACAUAUAUGAAACAGUUGAGUGUCUGCUUACUUAUUUUAUCACCUUUGUCACUGAUAUAAUGAUAUGAUUAAGACUUUAAUUGAGAGAAAAACAUUAAAUACUGAGUGCAAAAUGCUGCUUGCGAACAACAGCACUGGAAAAAAUGGGUGAACGCUGUUUAAGUAUGUCGCUAAUAGAGGAGCCAGCUCUAUAUCUAUGCUGCCAUAAAAAGUUUUCUGUAGGAUGACAUUUGGGCGCAGUGAUUGUGAAUUGAAAACUAGAAAAUAAGACAUUAUCACGUUUAAUUGCUUCAUUGUUAUAGGUAUUUGAAACUCAUUCUGCCAUAAAACAUUGUGUAGUGUUCGACAGAUUACAGAUUUUCAACAGCUGAUGAUGGGCCAAAUCCAAAAGACGUUGACGUCAACAUUUAAGGUGCUUUAGGAACUUCAAACAUGUCCAUAUCUCCCAUCACCGACCACCAUGAUAAAACUGCAGCCUUCAGGGCUUCACUUCAAAAAUACACCCUGAAAAUCUGACCUUUGGAUGAGGAGGAGACCUGGAGUGGACAAAUCUUUUUUUUUUUUUUUUUUUCAAAAAUUCUUUUUGAGUUUUCCAUCGACGUAUUUCAACAGUGAAUGUCAGGGUACAAGAGAUUCACUUCAACACCUAAAAUAAAUAAAUAAAAAUAACAACAAGAACAACAACAACUAGGGCCCCGUUGGGGCACUGGCGGGCCCGAGCCGUGUCGCGCCGCCCCCAGCGAGACCACCUCCCCGUCCCAUUCGCGUCCUCUGGCCGUCGCCCUCUCUGGUAACGCCCAUCACUGCAAAGACCCUUUUCCUUCAUCGGUGUUUGCUGUUCUUCCUGCCAGUGCGUGUUGCUUUCACUUACACUUGCCACAGCCAGCCUCGUGAGUGCCUAGCCUAUUGGAUAUCACUGUCACCUACACAGGACAGUCAUUACCUUUCUAUUAAUACUUUGUUUUUAAUUUCACAUUAAUUUCCAUAUUGUAUAAAUGACUGGAAAAAACUUGAGCCCCUGCCCCUGUAUAAUCAUGUGCACGUCCCUGUUCUAGCUCCAAGGUGAAUCUUCACUGCUCAUGUUCUCCUCAGAAGCAGUCACCUCACUCCCCUCAGGUUACUGUACACAUGCACCAACUGCCUGCUUCAGGUUUGGAUGGAGCUUCAUGGUUGUCUUUUGGAGAAAUGAGCAGUCAAGUUGUGUUUGAAAUUUGAUUUUUUUCAGGGGCAAAAGGAGCCUCUGUAUUCUUGAGACUCUGAGUGUGUGUGUGUGUGUGUGUGCGUGUGUGUGUGUGUGUGUGUGCGUGUGUGUGUGUCUGUGUGUGUGUGUGUGUGUAUAUCUUGCAGUACUCUGAGAAGAAUAAUAAGCAUAUUUCUGAGGUGAAUUUUGAAGAUUCAUCGGAGAGUUAGGAGGGCUGAUCAUUCCCUUACCCUUUAGAUGUCUAUGUCUGUUUUUGUGUGAUAAUGAAAUAAUCCCAACUCAAAAAGGCUCUGUUGAUGUUUUUUUUUUUGUUGUUCAUUCAUAUUCAAACCACUAUUUUAUAUCACUGCUAAUACGCCAAGACCAUUUUAUGGUAUUUAGCUUUAUUAUUUCUAUACAUUUUGCAAGGAAAGAAACCAAGCCCUUCACUAAAAUUUCCAUAAACUUUAGAAAAAAGAAACAAAGAAAAACCACUACAGGAACAACAGGGCCUCGCAGCUGCUUAGCAGCUACGCUCGGGCCCUAAUAAUAACGACAAUGACAACGACAAUGACAGUAAUGACAGCGACAAUAAUGACAAUGAUACUAAUAAUGAUGAUAAUGAUAAUAAUGAUAAUAAUGAUGGUAAUUGAUGAUGAUAAUUGAUGAUGAAAAUAAGAAAUAAGAUCAUACAGAAUCAGAUAAAAAAAAGAGUAAAAAUUGAUUAAAUAAAAAUAAAAAAAGGUUUGGACAAAUCUAAUCUUGUGUAGAGAUAAUCAGCAUGGAGGAAAGUGUGUUACAUAGGUGGAGAAGCAUUGAUUGAACACAUGAUGAGAGAGUGCGUGCAGCUCUGACCUUGGAUGAAAUCUAAGCGCAUCUGCAUUCAGUCUGUUCUGAUUUAUGCUGCAUUUUCACCUGAGAAAUAAAUACUUAACAACAUUCAGAGUUUUAUUUUAGAGUUAAAACCAACAUUUUGUCAGAGUCUGGUCUGAAAAUUUCAGUAUCAAAAGUACCAGUUAGAUACUUAUAGUCAACAAAAUAGAGUCACCAAAGCCUGAGAUAAGUCCCCAUUACUUGAGAGUCCCUAGUACCCGAGUCAAUGCCUUAGUCCAGUUCCCAUUACCUGAGUCUGAAGUCUAAAUCACCAAAUAAAAUAGCUAAAGCAAAGUUAUAUUCCAAGUCUCCUCUACAAAACAAGUAGUCACCAAAACAAGAACUAGAGCAACCACAGUCACUCCCUGAUUACCUGAGUCCGGUUCUUAGUUACUAAAGAGCGUGUUUUAAAGUCUGAGUCCAGUUCCUAUGAUUUCAAUUCUAGCUUGAGACAUCAAAAAUUCAGCCAAGUCCAAGUUUAGGUUUCUAUUUUCUGAGUCCAAGUCCACUGCAAGUCUUCAUCCGUAUUCAAAGUCCAAUUUGAGUCCCAAAUGAGUCUUGAACACCUCAGUCACAGUCUGACUUGAAUCUCUAGGGCAUGAGUCACCAUUAUGUGAGAAUAAGACACUGAAUGACAUGAGCUGAGUCUGAACUGAGUCACGUCAAGUCCAGAACUGUCUCUAGAGGUUUCCUAGGUGAACUGUUUUGCUGCAUAAAAUCAAAAGUGAAUGAACCACGAAGCUGGAAAACUCCAAGGUGUUGACAAAAUCAGUCUAAGGACCCAUGAAUUACUACAAAAUGCAAUGAUUAUAAAAAAAAGAGAGAACAUUUGCAGUCAUAGAAAGCUGGAGCCCAGUUUUUUAUAUUUUCAUGUGGCUAAAAAUCCCAGACAGUGACCUUGCAGGUCUAGGUUUUCUAGUGGAAAACUAAACCCAAAAAACUCACAAACUUACCAAAUCUUAAAACAGUCUGUAUCAAUGAUUGAGUCUGAGUCCACCUCCACAUGUUUUUGAGUCCUCAUACAGUAAAUAAUGAAGCCAAAACCCAACUCACCAGUGCAUGAGAACAAGGACUUGAACUUGACUCAAAUCGGAGUCCGAGACAGGAGUGCAAAUGACUAAAACAUUGAAUUUGAACAAUUUUUCCUACAUUUUUUUGUCAGGAGUCUGAUGGGAAACUUUCACCAAUACUUUACUUAGACAAGCAACAGAUAUAUGUGAUUAUUCAAAGAGCUGGUACAUAACGUAGCAGCUGGUAUAUUAAACAUUUUAGAGGCGAGGUCAGGGCUCCAGAGAUGAUUCAUUUCCGAUAGUUCUCGGAUCCUGUCUAACAUUAUAUCUACUUUUAUCAUGAUGGCAGGGGGGGAAGGUAAGGCCUUUGGUAUCUGUUACUGCUCUGUUACACAAGCGGGAGAAAGAUCCGGAAAAUAAUGAAGAAAUGUGAAGAUACUGUGACCGCGCUCGAUUCGCUUUAAAGGCUUCAUAAAAAAAAGACACUUUUUGAAGCUUCCUCAAAGACACGGACUGUUUAAAGUCUUUAAUGAGGAGGUUAGGUUUGCCUUGAUUGCUGCAGUUGUGAAUCACUUCUCACCACCACAAUGGAUUAAAUGGACACCAACUGCUGUCGUUUAAAUGCAGGUUAUUUUCCAGCUCAUUAGGCCUAUUGAUAACAGACACACAAAUUGUACAUUUUAAAGGAGGCAUCGAACUGCACCUCCUGUUUGUUUGUCUGUUUUUUUUUUUUUUUAAUUUUUCUGUUUACAACUAAAGAGCUCAAAAAUCUCCCUUUUCUCCACUCCACGAUUAUAUCAAGCGUUGAUUUGUUUUUGUUGAUUAUUUAUCUCACGAGUCACUAAGACGAAUUUGGCAGAGCUCCACUGCUUCUUUUAAAUCUUUCACAAAGACUGUAGAUAGAAUGAACGUUGUCUGCCUCCUCCUCUGCCUGCCUCCAGCAAUCCCUAUGGAGCUGUAGACAAACUUUAGAAAUUAAUUACACAGAAUAGAAAUUGUUCUCGCCCCUGGUUGUGAUGUUGACAUGUAGUUACUGUAAGACUGGUUUGUGCUCAAGUCCACUUUAUUCUGUACAGCUCCAUUUUUAAGAGUUAUUAAGGGGGUUCAUGUUUUCUAUGAUUGACACCUGAUACAGCCUAUGGGCGUACGAAGAUUGUGUAGCUCACCCAGGGGAUACGCUGUUUGAGCAGAACGCCAUCACAAAGACUUUCCCGUUUAAUGCCUAUGAUGCUACUGCGCAAGUGGUGUUUCCAGGAAGUGGAGAAAAUUUCGGAAAUACAGAGAGCAAUUCGGCUUCAAAUUCGUAUAAUGACGGAAGGCGGAGCCAAGUUGUCCAUAGUAUAUACAGCCUAUGGUUUGUAACUUACAACCACCUUGGCUAUUGUGGAAUAAGCCCAACGAUCAUAAUUGUUGCGAGCAGUUGGAUGGAUCUAAAACAAGCUUCACAGGUACAGUGUUGCCAACCUAGCGACUUUGUCACUAGAUUUAGCAAAUUUCAGUCCCCCUAGUGACUUUUUUUUCAAAAAAACGUCUAGCGACCAAUCUAGCAACUUUAUCUGGAGUUUAGAGACUCUAACCUGAAAGCAGGUAUCGAUGUCAAUGCUCUCAACGGGUGGGCGGUGUGCAUCAAAACUACAAGCACAAACACAUACGGACACCCCGAUGAAGACUCCUCCUUGGCGGCGGUGAAAAAUUAUGCAAAUUAGGCGUUGGCAUCAUCUAGGAACUUCUUGCAACCUUUACGACAGGCUGUCUUACAAACCAGUGUGGCUUACAUACUUUAUUUUAUUGUGAUUUUGCUUCAAGUGUUCAACAUUUUGAAGGGAGCAAUCGAGGUCAAAGUGUCGCAACCUGUCAAGAAAAGGCUUUUUUGCACAGAAAGGUAUCGAGCUGCUUUUUUUUUUUUUUUUAAAGGAAGUUACAGUCCCAGUGGGGCCCUUAAGUGUUCAGGAAGAGCAUUCCACAGUUGUGGAGCGGUGGAGCAGAAGGCAUGGUCUCCUAUUGUGCAGGUCUUGGUCUGGGGAAAGUGACAAGACAGUUUGAGUUGCUGGAUCUGAAGUUUUUAUUGGAGGUUUGGGGGGUUGAAAGUUCUUAAGGGUAGAAAAAAAAGUAGAAAGAACAAAAGGGAAAAACGGAUUAAAGAGUCUGAGGAGAGAAGUUAAACAGAGGAGAGGCAAAGCAGGGCCAAGUCAAGGAGUCUAUUUUGGGCAUGUACUCACCCUAGCUGCAAAGGCUUCCUCCAGUACCCGUCCAAUUAAGUGUGUACAGUCUAUCUACUGUUCCUCAAAUGAACAAGUGUGGAAAAGCCGAAUAUUCACUAAUUUCUUGUUUAUUUUGAAGGUAAAAUAAUCUAAAACUAAAGAUAAUAAACAACAACACAUCAACCAGUUUCAGUGACGUCUUCAUUCUCUGGUUUUAUCCAGGUAUAAAAGGUCAUGUACCUCCACCGCCAGGCAGUAUAAAAGCUUCAGAUCCAAAGGGUAACUUUUAUUUUUUGGGUAGUAGUGUUUGAUGUUUGCUUUGCCAAAUUGUACCACUUCCUGUGUCCUUUGAGAGGAAGGUGUUGGGUCAGAUCCUAAUUUAGAACAAUAAAUUUAGGCCCCUAGCUGCGGGGGAAAGCACUGUCACGGCAAGAUUGAUUUUUAUCGCGUCAGGCCUGAAGUGUGUUUGUGCGAGUGUGUGGGGGAACAAAGGCUGGUUCAGGGCUCCUCAGCCUCCACAGGGACUUGAAAUGGCUCUUACCAUCUGCUGAAAAUAGUCAAUACAUCCUAAAGCAUCAUGUAGGGCCUCCCCGUAUUCUGAUUGACUGAAAAGGUCACUGGCAGCAUCAAGAAUAAGCAGCCAAUCAACAUGCAUGCUUUUUUUUUUUUUUUUUAACAAAAUGCCAAUAUCUCAUCAGGCUUUUUGAACGGUCUUCAUCCUGGUUCUUGGUCUUAUUUGCUUGAAUAACCUGCAGCAAGACAAAGCUUUUUCGAAAGGCGGCUACUUAAAGAUCGGCUUGAUUUUCUAAUCACCUUAAAAUAGAACAGCUUUAGAUCCACCUGAAGUCUACGUAUCGUGCAGUAAAGCUAAAUAUAGCCACUUAAAUAAAGUAAAGGUUCGUAAGAGUCACCGCCACUAUUUUUGUCCCACGGGAUAGUGCAUAGUGCCGUAGUGACUGUCAAAAACAGACACUGCUUUCUGUGGCGCAUUUUAUACGAAUGAAUAAAUGAUGAGAGGUGUGAGGUGUGUGUUUUCAGCAGCAGCUGUAUCAGCUUUAGACCUGAGAUCUAUAUCUUGAAUGAAUAAUCUCACAUCUCAGGAGGAGUAAAAUGAGGGUAUUUUUUUGCCCUUGUGAAGCUCAGAGCCGUUGAAUAAAAAUGAGGAUUCAAAUCUGUCGUUACUAUUGAUAUUCCUGGUUCUGAUUGUAUUGUUUUUAAUCCAAAAGUGCGUCAGUUUACAGAUUUCUGUAGUGCGGUGAGCUGCUUUUCUUCAUCAAAGAGCAGAGCAUUAUUGUAAUGAAUUCACAGAGAUGCAGAAUCCUUUCAUGAUCCCAUAUGGCGGAUAACUAAAGCUCUGCCCUGUCUGGAAGUUUCACAUUGUUUGUGAUUUACCAGGUUGUUUCAGACGCCUUUGUUCUCUCUGCCAUCUGAAAAAAAAAGAAAAAAAAGUUCUGUGCUGCAUUACAAGUUGAUAAAUUGUUGACUUCAGAUUAUUUUUAGUUUCUGCGAAUCGCUCGAAAAAGUGACAGCUGCACAAACAAAUGUGCCAAAGGGUAGAAGACUUUCAAUUGGAAUACUUUUUUCCUAUUUCCUUUACUCAAGCUUUUGUUUUCAUUAAAAUAAAGAUGAAAUUGUGAGUAAUACCUGUCAUUCUGGCAAAUUUGCUAUUUUGCUUUGCUAGAUUUUGUUGAAACUUCCCAAAGCACAAGUAACUUUCCUAUGUUUCUGUGAAUGAAAAAUGAGUACAACCCUACUCCACGCUUGGAUCACAUCAUGAUGUAUGGUUUCUUUUUUUGUGUGGUAGAGUUUUGACCUGCAUUUGUGGACUUAGUGAAAAAUUGUCUUUACAUAAAAUGAACCCAUGCUGGGAUUUCCACUGCAGAGUUAUGAGUCUUUUUAAUAGCACAUCUAUCCAGUAAAAUCUAUCUGCCUUUUCUCUUUUUGUACAGAGAUUUCUCCAUUUCAGUAUCAUCUUUUUAAUGACAUUAGUAGAUGAUAAAUCCUCAAAUUCUGAUCAAUUUUAAGCAAAUAAACAUUAAUAUGAAACUGUUUAAGCUAACAAAUAUUACUAACCUGUUGAAGAUAAGUGUAAACAAACGGAAGAUGUCACUCCGGGUGUUUUUUUUCUAGUGUUUUACAACUUUUUUGUGUUUCGCCGUCCCUGGUUUGGCUAUUUGAAACCUUUGCUGGCAUCAACUUUAAUUUGAGCCUCCAGCAGGGGGCGACUAUAACUACAGGCAGCCACACAGGCUUGAACACCUGAGUGGUAAAUCCAUAUAAAUUUGUCAUUGUGAUGAGUAACUGAUGGCUGCAUUAUUGUACGAGUUUACUGUGGUCAAGAGUGCAUGGACUGGUCAGGUUACGAUGAGGGCUCCCUCUGCUGUAUCGUACGGGAAGCUACUUCUGGCGACCCAAUGUGGUGGUAUUUUCUAAUGUUAUUUUCUAUUGUUAUGAGCUCAAUAAAGUUUGAAUAUUAACUUUCGGAUAAAGGUUCGAACUUGGAUAACAAAUGAUAGAAAACAGCAGCUGUUUUGUCCACAUGCUUAAAACACCAAAUUUGUUCGCCUAAGCCAUGAGCUGAGUCAUUUUUCAGCCGUCAGUUGGCAGCUGCAUUACAACCAGGAGCCAGCAAAAGCUAUUAAAAAGACAUAUUCAUAACAUGAGAUAAUUGCUGCACAAACUCUUCUAUUUUUCACCUAUUGGAGACUUGCAAAAUAUUCAAAAACUAUGACCCAUCCUUUACUCAUGAAUCUAAAAUUACUAAGCUUUCGUCUGAAAUUGAGCACUAAUAUGAAUCCGCAAAAAUGAGCAAUAUCCAAUCAUCUGGAGCCGGACCUAUGCAACACUCUGUCAGAGGCAAAAACACUGUAUAUAUUUCUGAACAUUCAAACAUUUGUGCCAAUUAAACUUUUGGACUUUGUCAGACGGAAGAUGCCCAAAAGCAACAAACCAAACUGGAUUCCGCAUGACAAGGUGCACGGAUGAUGCCAGAAGUCUGAGGCUCAUCUCAGUCAGCCGAGCGUGAAGGGUGCAAGUAUUAAUAAACCACCAGAAACAGAGAGAGGAGGAGAAAAAAAAAAAAAAAAAAAACAGGCCGAGAGAAUGCAAGAAUGAUUUAUAAGAGAGAAGUGUGGGUAAUGGUUUGGGGGUAAACAACAGUGUCCCUCUGGCCUGGUCUGCAUUUCAUAGGACUGUGAUGAAGCUGUCAUCAACACGCACCACUCCGGUAAUACAAUCCUCUGGGGGACGCUUACUUUUAAUUUGGAUGUCAGAAGAAAAUGAUGGACUUUUAUUGUUUGUUUUGAGAGGGAGUGUGUGUUCGAGUGUGAGUGUGUGUGGGCUCACUCUCAUAUAUCCAUACCCGUCUAUCUGUCUGUCUAUAUAUUCAAGUGGACUUCAAUAUGAGAUUGGCUGUUAUUAAAACUUUAACCUGCAGAAUCCCGACUUCUCAAACAAGAAGAAACUUUCUAGCUGUUUGGAGAUUAAGUAACUUUAUAUGUGUGUUAGAGUUCGGGAUAUAUGAAGGACUAUUAGAGCAACCUAAUGUAAGUGGAUCAUUUAUUAUCAUUAUGAUGGUUAAAAUGGUGAUAAUCCCAUUUGCCGAAAAAAGCAAUGAGGCGAUGAAGGUAAAAAACUAGGAGAAAUCAAUGUUAACAUCUUGUUUUAUCAGUAUUACAAGACUGGUGUCAAAAUUUAUUGUGUGUUUUUUUUCAUUUCCCAGACGCCUCCAACCAAAUAGAUAUUCUUCGAGUAUAUUAGUACAGACAUAUUCAGGCUUAUUUGGCAUUUUUAAGGGGAACUGAUGCAUAAAAAGAGUUGUCUGAGGUAUAAAAUCCACAAAUUUAACUCUAAAAAGCUGACAGGGUCCCAAACAGAAAUAUUCAUCACCUACAUGAGCAUUUCCUUUUCUGCAGCAUUCAUAGCAGAGCUUUUUAAAGUGAGGAAAAAAGUGAGGAAAUUCAUCACAUAAACAGCUGGUAAUCUCAUUUUAAGUAUGGGUAUGGGCUGAAAAAGGACCUGGAGUAUUAUCAGUAUGAGCACGAACGAGCCACACCUCUUAAAAUUAGACAUAAUACAAAAUACGGACAAUAUACGACCACUUUUCAACUUAAAAAUGGUUUUAUAGAGUCAUGAGUGUGUGGAAAUCCAAACAAUUGUGAUUUAUUGAUAUAUUGUCAUGUGGAGACUCUCUUUUACAGUACUCAAACUGAAAGCAGGAUGAUUUUCUUUACUCACAAACACAUGUACAUGUUUUAAUACGAACAGACCAUCACUGCUCUGUGUUAUUACAUCCUACAGUGAACAAGUUAAAGGCCCUGCCUCUCACUCUGUGCGAUAAACUCAUCCCAUUAUCAUCUUUGUGCAGUCUCUUAUUGACAUUAGUGUUUUAAGGUGUAGCUUCACGGAGCUGUAGGUGCUGAAUUCAGUCGUCUUGAAGUCCAUAUUGUUUUACGAACGGCAUGAGCUGCAGGAAUCGGGUAGAAAUGACUCUGGAUUUAUUAAUAAGUUAAAAGCUGUUAGGCAGCAUGUGAUUGACAUUAAUUAUAAAAAUGGGACUCUCUCUCAGCACCCUCAGCCAUGACAAGUGUUGGGGAACAUUACUUCCUCAAGUAUCUUGUAUUGUUAGAAGAUUAGAAGAAGAAGCAGCAUCAGAGUAUGUCUGCUCGAACCCCCUGACUCAUUACGCUUGUCAGUUAUAAUGUCCAGACUUGGAAAAAGAUGGAGAUGAUGGACUGUUGAUAUCAGCAGCAUCUCCUCCAUUACAUCACCAGCUGUAAGCUCAUUAAUUUCCUCCUGAUUGACAGUGUUAGUUGAACUCAAAGUUAGCUGUUACUUUUUCUGAGCUGCUGCACCACCUGUACCUCCUCAAUGGGCCUCACCAUCAGCGCUGCAGAGCAAAGUUUAGCUUUUGAGACGUUUUUGUCCCCCAGGCACUGUUUUACAUUUGAAUGUAGUAGUUUUUUUUAACUUAAGAUACCUUUAUUAUUUAUCACUCUGUUUAUUUACUUUAGGGGUGUCCUGAUACAACUUUUUGACUAAGGGAAACCUUUGCCAUUCUGUUCUCCAGACUUGUAGUAACAAGUUUUUUGCUUAUUUUGCAGCUGGCAGUUUCAGAAAUGGUUCCUUCCAUCAG
Molecule: long non-coding RNA, 24308 nt
Filed under: Xyrichtys novacula (pearly razorfish)
Lineage: Eukaryota; Metazoa; Chordata; Actinopteri; Labriformes; Labridae
Source: RNAcentral